UACGCCCGAUCUCGUCCGAUCUCGGAAGCUAAGCAGGGUCAGGCCUGGUUAGUACUUGGAUGGGAGACCGCCUGGGAAUACCAGGUGCUGUAAGCUUUAUGUUUUACUUCACUAGUGUCCUAACAUUUUAAAUAGCCCACUCUUGGUUGCAGAUUUCGCUUACGGCCAUACCAGCCUG
RNAcentral lists this ribosomal RNA (178 nucleotides) under Hypophthalmichthys molitrix (silver carp). The record is from RNAcentral. Lineage: Eukaryota; Metazoa; Chordata; Actinopteri; Cypriniformes; Xenocyprididae.